GGUCCCGUCCGGCUCAGUUGGUAGAGCAUGGUGUUUGCAACGCCAGGGUUGUGGGUUCGAUUCCCAUGGGGGACCA
Salmo salar (Atlantic salmon) is the source of this 76-nucleotide non-coding RNA. Lineage: Eukaryota; Metazoa; Chordata; Actinopteri; Salmoniformes; Salmonidae. The record is from Rfam.